This 465-nucleotide ribosomal RNA is filed under the name Vreelandella stevensii. RNAcentral describes it as "partial 16S ribosomal RNA". It matches the Rfam family "Bacterial small subunit ribosomal RNA", at positions 338 to 795 of the family's 1533-position model. Lineage: Bacteria; Pseudomonadati; Pseudomonadota; Gammaproteobacteria; Oceanospirillales; Halomonadaceae. The record is from RNAcentral.
CCUACGGGGGGCAGCAGUGGGGAAUAUUGGACAAUGGGCGAAAGCCUGAUCCAGCCAUGCCGCGUGUGUGAAGAAGGCCUUCGGGUUGUAAAGCACUUUCAGUGGGGAAGAAAGCCUUGGGGCUAAUACCCUCGAGGAAGGACAUCACCCACAGAAGAAGCACCGGCUAACUCCGUGCCAGCAGCCGCGGUAAUACGGAGGGUGCGAGCGUUAAUCGGAAUUACUGGGCGUAAAGCGCGCGUAGGCGGUCUGAUAAGCCGGUUGUGAAAGCCCCGGGCUCAACCUGGGAACGGCAUCCGGAACUGUCAGGCUAGAGUGCAGGAGAGGAAGGUAGAAUUCCCGGUGUAGCGGUGAAAUGCGUAGAGAGCGGGAGGAAUACCAGUGGCGAAGGCGGCCUUCUGGACUGACACUGACGCUGAGGUGCGAAAGCGUGGGUAGCAAACAGGAUUAGAUACCCGGGUAGUC